AUGCCUGGUCAGUACCUUGUCGUAGACAGCGACCUGGAGGGAGAAGCCCAGGUAGUCACUGAGGCCCUGCUUGUGGGCGAUGUGCAGGCAGAUUUCCCUCGAUGUGGAGGCCGAGUCGACGGUGACGGUCAAGCUUUCCCCAGUUACCAUGAUGACCUGGAUCGGGAUGUGCUUCUUGGACUUGACAGCCUGGGGGCAGAGGCAGACUCAGGCCCUGGGCUCAGCUGCCUGCCUGCGAGCCCCUGGAACCCCAAAACAGAGGCCAGCCCCCAUCCCCCACCCCUCUCUCCCUGAUCCACUGCCCCUGCUUGCCCUUCCCCGGAGGUCCCCGGGCUCCCAGGUCGGACGCGGCUCGGCACGGAGAACCACGCUCAGGCCGACCGGGGUCUGCCCCGGGAGGACAGCUGUCAGGCGGGAGCAGCGUUAGCCCACACGUCCGGCCACUUGCGUGCUUCUCCAGGUCCACCUCGGCAGCUCCGGGGGUGCUGCCUGCAGGCUGGCACAGCCCCAGUUUUCAAUGAGAACCCUGAGCUUGGUGAGGUUAAGUGACUUAGACUGGCAGAGGUGACCUGCAGCCACCGGGAUAGGGUACCGCGGGGUCACAGAGGUGAGCACCUUGCAGGCUGGGGCUGGACCAGAACUGUGGGAAGAGCAGGGUGCAGGGACCCCUCCUGGCUGUUCUGAGUGACACUGUGAGAACUCAGGUGAUGCAGCUGCCAGAGCAGGAUGAGGCAGCACCUGCUCCCAGGAGUAGCGCCACCAAGGACAACAGCCUUGGCGUGGCCACUGCCUUCUUCACAAGUGAACGCCCUGGGAGGGGUGGCGUUCGGAGCAGUUAGCCCAGCACAGCGCUGAUAAGUGGCCAGAUGGGCCUUCCCUCCAGCCAGUAGGGCCCUGCAAGAACGUGGGUCUAGAGGUGGAGGCACCUCGGAAGGCUGGGGAGGCUGCGCCCCAUGAAGGGGGGCCCCCAGGGACCAUCGGCCUGGGAGGUAACGCAGAGGAGACAGAGGAGCUUGAGGACAAAGGACCUAUCCUGGCAGCAGGCACCUCACUAGCUGUACUGGGGGAGCCUGCAGCCUGCCCUGCCCCUCACCGCCCACUUCCCACCCUGCCGGCCCUACCUGCAGCUCCAGCCAGGUGGGGGGCUCCGUCCGCACCCCGUUGGCGCAGGUGCGUCUCAGGCGCUCAGUGCAGAAGGGCCCGUAACUCGCCGGCCCCCGACCAAUGAAGUUCAGGAGAUACUGGGGGGCGAGGAAGGGAGAGGGGCGGAUGCUCAGGAUGAAGGCCAGUUUCUACUUACUGCCCACUCAGACUUUAAAAACCACAACAUCCAGUUUAUAAAGAUGCACUGAGACGGCGCACACUCCUCGCGGGGAGAAACGCAGCUCAGUACGUCCGCGAGGAGCAGCCUGGCAAUACGUGUGCAAGUGCCUCGCUUUAGAGCCCACGUGCUCUUUGCCCCUAACGCAAGCCUAUCCUCCAGGUGGGUACACACGCACGGUCACAGUGGUAUCCAUGGUGGUGAGUGACUGGCAGACAGACCCUGCAAGUCCACCCCCAGUCCAGUAUCCCGUGGGGACCAGGCGUUACCGCUGGCAUCGGGGAGGUUUGCGCCGUGAGAAAACGUCAUGAACAUUUCUGUGGUGUAAAUGUUCCCACCAAGGCCAAUUUCGAGCUGCCAGCAUGAUGUCACAACUGAACACAGAGUUGGGAAGAGGGGUGCACGGCAAGCCGCUGGGAGCCCCGGCACACACGCUCUCUCCACGGCCCACAGACACCGCCAACCGCUCACCCAGCCUGGAAACCUGGGGUCGUUCUAGACUCCUCCCAUCGCUUCAUCCCCCAGGUCCAACCAGCCACCGCAUCCUGCCCCCUCUCUCCUGGAUGUCUUCUCUGGCCCCGACUCUUGGCCUCUGUGUCCUGGGCCAUCCCUCAUCAGCUCUCCCUGGACCUCUGUAGCGGGCCCUGCCCGGCCUCCUACCCCCAGGCUCCACCCGCCACGUGACUGCCAGGAAGAUCAUUCUGGAAGUCAGCUAUGAUCAUAGUCCUCUGGUGCUUAAAACUUUCCCCACUUCCCUUAGAAUUGAAUCUGAACUCCCUGACCCAGCUGUGACAAACCACUGAGAAUUCCAGGUCCCUCCAGGCCAUUUCAAGGGUGAGCUGUUCUCCCUUGCCCUCUGCCUGGGGGGCACCCCCAGAUGGCACUAAGGCCACCCCUCCUUGGUGCCCUCACUGAACCCCGAACGUACUAAGAUGCUCAUGCUGCCGCUGUGGCUGUCCUGGUCCUCUCCUGUCCCCCGACCAGAGGACAAGCUCCUCAGGGCAGGUACGUGUCGUCUUCGUCUCACAUGCCCAGCCCCCAGGCCAGGGCCCAUGUACUUAAAACAUGUAUAUGAAUGUGUGAUGGAUACAGAAUAGCACAUUUCUUUUGGUCUCAGAAUUUGGCCAGGACCCCAGAACCAUGGAAAAAUGGAUGCUAACAUCCAAUAUUCUUGUAGAAUUUGCUAAACAACAGCAGAACCAGUCUAGCUGCCAUGCCUCCUCCAGGCUGCGUGAGGGAAGAUGAGAAAUUUGGAAGGUGAUUCCUAGAAGGGACCUCACGGGAAUAGAGAGAUCUGUGGCCCAUUUUUACUCCCCAUAAGUGAUGGGGGGUUGUGAGGGGGACCCCAGGAGAACUGCCAAUAGGGAUGGGCCUGUCAGAGAUGAGACCCUCUCACGCCCCAGGGGAGGCACACUGAGCCCCGGAAGCCCACCGACCUCCCCCAGGGUGCUGGAAGGGAGCCUGGUGACAGUGUUCUUCCCACUGCUUGACUUAUGUGCCCUGAGUUGGGGACAUCCAUGGAAAAAAAGGCUAGUGUCUGCUUCCUCCUGGAGAAUUCUAAGCCCGGGGCAAGGUGGAGAGAGAGACUCAAGGGAUGGCAGCUGCACACGAACUGCUCAGUGGGGCAAGUGUGAGCUUCCUGCCGGCCAAGAGGGUGCGUGGAGGGAGCUGGGCUUCAGGCAUCCAGACAGGACCCCACAUCAGCAGGCAGCCCAUUAUUCCAGAAGACCCCAGCAGUAGGAGGCUGUGGGAUGUUCCACUGGGGGCUCGAGUCAGCAGGGGCUCUCACGGGAUUACUGAGGGUGUCACUGUUGGACACUGCCUAUGGGGGUAUCUGAAGAGCCAACAGUGCACCUCGUUCUGACACAACCUUUACGUGUGUGCCGUGGUGGAGGGUGUGGUGGCCAGCGAAGAUUCACCACGAGAGAACUGCCAACAGAAGCAGCCGAGUUAGAGGACUUGCCAGUUGGUGUGGCAUGGGCAGCUAAACUUGACUAGAAGCCCUGUGGUCCUCCUGGCUGAAAGCACCAGAGGGCUGAGCCUGGGGCACCACACACCUUGAAAGUGGACGGGAAUCUUGCAAUGAAGAGAACCAGAGAAGGGGAGUCCUAAAUUUUUCAUAUAAAAUCCUAAAUCUCCGGCUGACCCCUCAUGGUGGGGCAGCACGGUGGGGCCCUCGUGGUGGGGCAGAUGCCAUGGCACCAGCUAAGGCAAAGUAGCUGCACAGGGAUCCCAGCUGCUGCUCCCCAUGUGGGAGACAGAGUUUGAAUCCAGCCAAGCUAGUCACCCGCCAGAACAAAAAGUCAAUGCUCUUUGAACGCCGGAACAGCAGCCAGGGGCUCUAAACGUACCAUCCUCAGUGUCCGGGAGACAGUCCCAAAGUGCUAGACCCAGGAGGAGGCAACAGUCAAGUGCCAGACACGGCGGGGAACAGGAGGCACGGCCAUCCUCACGAGAAAAGGCAGCUGGGCACACUGACCCCAAGGUGACCCAGAGAGUGGAUUUGCGAGAAGGUUAAAAACUACUGUAACUCUGCUCAAGGACAUAAAGAAAGCUACACUUAUGGUGAGCGGGCAAGUAGGAAAUCUUGGCACAGAAACAAAAGUGUAAAAAAGAUCCAAGUGCAAAUUCUAGAACUGAAAAAAUAAUACCUGGAAUAAAACAUUUGUUAGUUGGUAUAAGAGCAGGUUAGGGAAGACAGAGAAAGAUCAGCGAAUUGGAAGACAGAUUAGUAGAAACGGCCCAAUCUAAAGAACAAAGGGAAAGGAAGAAAAGCCGGGCAGACCCUCAGGGUCACCAUGCCGGUCUCAAAACAGCUCACACGGGUUAAUGAGAGUUUGAAGGAAAAGACAGAGAAUGAGUUAGAAAAAAUAUUUGAAGAAAUAGUGACCAACAGUUUCUCAGAUUUGGUUAAAAAUAUUAACUAAGUAAGUGGACCCCUAAAGUGCAGUCGUCUGUCCCUGAAAGCAGUAUGUAGCUGUCCCUCUGCCUCCGUGGAGACGCAUUCUACCAAUCCAGCCAACUGUGGGUGGAAAAUACGGCGUUCACAGGCAAACUGCACGGACUUCUAAGUGGUAUGAAACCCCAACUCCUAUAAGGCCAGCUGUAUAGAAAGCAAAAAGCAUACUGCAAAUGAGGAACCUGCUCAUUUUCCAGGCCCUGUGCUAAAGCCUGUUCCCAAGUGAAUCAGCAGCACAUGAUGAAUGUGUUUUCCUGAAAUGGGGUUUUUCCUGUGGGGUUUCUUACUGCAGAGCAAGCAGAGAAGCCUGGGUGGCCGUAACACCUGCUCUCCUGAGACCCAGCCUUCAGGCCCCAGGACGGGGGGCGUCUCGUGGGCAGGGAGGUUGUGGCCCUGGGCUGGGAGGCUGGGAGGGGCUCCGACGCUGAGCAUGGGGUGGGCGGGGGUGGGUACUGACCUGAGGCCAGGCCGCAGGAUGGCGUAGCCCACGAUGAAGUGCACCUUCUCCAGGUUGGACAUGGGGCGGUCCGUGACGGGGCCACUGGGCUCAAAUGCCUCCUCUCCAGUGUUCAGCUGGCUGGCCACCUGGAACUCAAAGGCGGCCGUCAGCACAGCUGUGACUCUCCCCAUUUGCCAAGGAGGAAACUGGCGCGAGGAGAGGGAAGCCACCGCCUGGGACCCUGCUGGGACAGAUUGAGGUUCCGUGCCCUGGGCUCACCUGGCCCGUGACCCGGGAGGACCGCUUCAGCUUCAUGGAGGAGAUCUCCUUGGUUCCCCUGUCCCUGCGGCCGGGCCUCUGUGGAAGGGGACAGUUCAAGAAUGACUGUGGCUCGGGGCUGUCCUAAGCCUGGGCUCACCUUGGUGAUGCUGCCCCUGCAGCCAAUGGGGGGCCAGAGUGAGUGUCCCUCUCGUCGGGCAUCUCCUGGCCCCAGCUACAAAGCACCAGCGCCAUGCGAGCUUCACAACACGCACACGUGCACAUCGCCUGCCGGGCGAGGAAAAGGAGGCCCAGGGACGGCAAGAGACUAGACAAAAGCUGCUCACCAUCCUUCUGGGAUGGGCUCAGGGCUGUUCUUCUGAUCCCAAAGCUUGUGCCCUCCCCAGUCAAGCUCUCCGAGGACGGACUGGGUCUGAGCCCAGGUGCUUGGGACGCCCCCAAGCCAUGGUCACUCAGUAAAAAUGCGGCAGAUGAAUCAGAGGAGGCUCUGCCCGCUGCCAGGAGAGCUCUGCCCGGGGUUCAGAAGAGCCCAGGCUUCAAGCUGGCAUCCAGGCAGGGCAGGGCAGGGCCUGCCCCCAACUGUUAGCAUCUAGUGGUCUCCUUAGGCAGAGGCUGUUCCUUGUCAUGAUGGUGUCAGGAGAAGAAUUUGCUGUCAAAAUUGGAGCUCAGUGUGGGACUGGACCUGGGUUGAGAUCAGCCCAGUCUGGGGCCAGGCACCAGCUUCUGGCUGGGGCAAAGCUGGUUUGCCACAUGGGGGCUGACUGUGAGACAUGCUAGCUGGCGAGCUCUAAGAGGUCUGGCUCGGCCCACUGCCCUGUGCGUGGGGCACGUGGCAGGUACUUAACAAAUGUGCGCAGGAAGGAAAACCUGAGAUCUGACCUCCAGGAAGCCAGUCCUGCUUCCCCCGUGUCCAUCCUCCAGAGGUGCAGGGUGGCUGGACUGCCUCCCAGAGUCCCUUCCCGGAGCAGUCGCCAGCCUCCAAGGCACCUCCUGACAUUCCUGCCCUGUGUGGGAAUGUGACCUCAAGACUAGACGUUGCAUCUUCCUUCUUGCUUCCUUUCUAGAAUCAGCCAUGCUGGGGGAAGCCACGUUGUGAGGAUGCUCAGGCAGUUGGCAGAGAGGCCCAUGUGGGGAGGAAUGGAAGCCUCCUGCUAUCAGCCACAUGGGUGAGCCAUCUUGAGAGUGGACUGUCCAGCCCCAGGUGACAGCUUGGUGGCAGCCUCAUGAGAGACCCUGAGCCAGAACUAUCCUGCUAAGCUGAUCCUGAGCCCCAGAAACUGUGUGAGAUAAUAAAUUUGUGCUAUUUUAA
This is a long non-coding RNA of Lemur catta (Ring-tailed lemur), 6307 nucleotides long. RefSeq lists it as uncharacterized. The transcript has 2 exons. Lineage: Eukaryota; Metazoa; Chordata; Mammalia; Primates; Lemuridae. The record is from RefSeq and is a predicted model, not a curated record.